This 339-nucleotide ribosomal RNA is filed under the name uncultured prokaryote. RNAcentral's name for it is "bacterial SSU rRNA". It matches the Rfam family "Bacterial small subunit ribosomal RNA", at positions 8 to 347 of the family's 1533-position model. The record is from RNAcentral.
AGAGUUUGAUCCUGGCUCAGGACGAACGCUGGCGGCGUGCUUAACACAUGCAAGUCGAACGGUUUAUAAGGGCUUGCCCUUAUAGAUAGUGGCGAACGGGUGCGUAACACGUGAGCAACCUGCCCCAAAGUUUGGAAUAACACCGGGAAACCGAUGCUAAUACCAAAUAUGCUCACACUAUCACAAGAUAGAGUGAGGAAAGUUUUUCGCUUUGGGAGGGGCUCGCGGCCUAUCAGCUUGUUGGUGAGGUAACGGCUCACCAAGGCAUCGACGGGUAACUGGUCUGAGAGGACGAUCAGCCACACUGGGACUGAGACACGGCCCAGACUCCUACGGGAG